AUUGAACGCUGGCGGAAUGCUUUACACAUGCAAGUCGAACGGUAGAGGGGCAACCCUUGAGAGUGGCGAACGGGUGAGUAAUGUAUCGGAACAUGCCCAAUCGUGGGGGAUAACGUAGCGAAAGUUACGCUAAUACCGCAUACGAUCUACGGAUGAAAGCGGGGGAUCGCAAGACCUCGCGCGAUUGGAGUGGCCGAUAUCAGAUUAGGUAGUUGGUGGGGUAAAGGCCUACCAAGCCGACGAUCUGUAGCUGGUCUGAGAGGACGACCAGCCACACGGGGACUGAGACACGGCCCAGACUCCUACGGGAGGCAGCAGUGGGGAAUUUUGGACAAUGGGCGCAAGCCUGAUCCAGCCAUUCCGCGCGCAGGAAGAAGGCCUUCGGGUUGUAAACUGCUUUUGUACGGAACGAAACGCGCUGUGCUAAUACCACGGCGUAAUGACGGUACCGUAAGAAUAAGCACCGGCUAACUACGUGCCAGCCGCCGCCGUAA
Molecule: ribosomal RNA, 494 nt
Filed under: uncultured bacterium
Lineage: Bacteria
Description: partial 16S ribosomal RNA
Rfam family: Bacterial small subunit ribosomal RNA
Source: RNAcentral